Molecule: ribosomal RNA, 414 nt
Filed under: uncultured microorganism
Description: bacterial SSU rRNA
Rfam family: Archaeal small subunit ribosomal RNA
Source: RNAcentral
CAGCCGCCGCGGUAAUACCGGCGGCCCGAGUGGCGGCCACUAUUAUUGGGCUUAAAGCGUCCGUAGCCGGGUUGGUUAGUCUCCCGGGAAAUCUGGCCGCUUAACGGUCAGAAUUCCGGGAGAUACUGCCAGCCUAGGGACCGGGAGAGGCCGAGGGUAUUCCCGGAGUAGGGGUGAAAUCCUAUAAUCCCGGGAGGACCACCUGUGGCGAAGGCGCUCGGCUGGAACGGGUCCGACGGUGAGGGACGAAGGCCAGGGGAGCAGACCGGAUUAGAUACCCGGGUAGGCCUGGCUGUAAACGAUGCGGACUUUGUGUCGGACAAGCUAUGAGCUUGUCCGGUGCCGGAGGGAAACCGUUAAGUCCGCCGCCUGGGGAGUACGGCCGCAAGGCUGAAACUUAAAGGAAUUGGCGGG